Molecule: ribosomal RNA, 248 nt
Filed under: uncultured bacterium
Lineage: Bacteria
Description: partial 16S ribosomal RNA
Rfam family: Bacterial small subunit ribosomal RNA
Source: RNAcentral
AAGAUGGCGACCGGCGCACGGGUGAGUAACACGUAUCCAACCUGCCGAUAACUCCGGAAUAGCCUUUCGAAAGAAAGAUUAAUACCGGAUAGUAUACGAAUAUCGCAUGAUAUUUUUAUUAAAGAAUUUCGGUUAUCGAUGGGGAUGCGUUCCAUUAGUUUGUUGGCGGGGUAACGGCCCACCAAGACUGCGAUGGAUAGGGGUUCUGAGAGGAAGGUCCCCCACAUUGGAACUGAGACACGGUCCAA